Molecule: ribosomal RNA, 1283 nt
Filed under: Bacillus licheniformis
Lineage: Bacteria; Bacillati; Bacillota; Bacilli; Caryophanales; Bacillaceae
Also listed under: 1 other name
Description: bacterial SSU rRNA
Rfam family: Bacterial small subunit ribosomal RNA
Source: RNAcentral
AGUCGAGCGGACCGACGGGAGCUUGCUCCCUUAGGUCAGCGGCGGACGGGUGAGUAACACGUGGGUAACCUGCCUGUAAGACUGGGAUAACUCCGGGAAACCGGGGCUAAUACCGGAUGCUUGAUUGAACCGCAUGGUUCAAUCAUAAAAGGUGGCUUUUAGCUACCACUUACAGAUGGACCCGCGGCGCAUUAGCUAGUUGGUGAGGUAACGGCUCACCAAGGCGACGAUGCGUAGCCGACCUGAGAGGGUGAUCGGCCACACUGGGACUGAGACACGGCCCAGACUCCUACGGGAGGCAGCAGUAGGGAAUCUUCCGCAAUGGACGAAAGUCUGACGGAGCAACGCCGCGUGAGUGAUGAAGGUUUUCGGAUCGUAAAACUCUGUUGUUAGGGAAGAACAAGUACCGUUCGAAUAGGGCGGUACCUUGACGGUACCUAACCAGAAAGCCACGGCUAACUACGUGCCAGCAGCCGCGGUAAUACGUAGGUGGCAAGCGUUGUCCGGAAUUAUUGGGCGUAAAGCGCGCGCAGGCGGUUUCUUAAGUCUGAUGUGAAAGCCCCCGGCUCAACCGGGGAGGGUCAUUGGAAACUGGGGAACUUGAGUGCAGAAGAGGAGAGUGGAAUUCCACGUGUAGCGGUGAAAUGCGUAGAGAUGUGGAGGAACACCAGUGGCGAAGGCGACUCUCUGGUCUGUAACUGACGCUGAGGCGCGAAAGCGUGGGGAGCGAACAGGAUUAGAUACCCUGGUAGUCCACGCCGUAAACGAUGAGUGCUAAGUGUUAGAGGGUUUCCGCCCUUUAGUGCUGCAGCAAACGCAUUAAGCACUCCGCCUGGGGAGUACGGUCGCAAGACUGAAACUCAAAGGAAUUGACGGGGGCCCGCACAAGCGGUGGAGCAUGUGGUUUAAUUCGAAGCAACGCGAAGAACCUUACCAGGUCUUGACAUCCUCUGACAACCCUAGAGAUAGGGCUUCCCCUUCGGGGGCAGAGUGACAGGUGGUGCAUGGUUGUCGUCAGCUCGUGUCGUGAGAUGUUGGGUUAAGUCCCGCAACGAGCGCAACCCUUGAUCUUAGUUGCCAGCAUUCAGUUGGGCACUCUAAGGUGACUGCCGGUGACAAACCGGAGGAAGGUGGGGAUGACGUCAAAUCAUCAUGCCCCUUAUGACCUGGGCUACACACGUGCUACAAUGGGCAGAACAAAGGGCAGCGAAGCCGCGAGGCUAAGCCAAUCCCACAAAUCUGUUCUCAGUUCGGAUCGCAGUCUGCAACUCGACUGCGUGAAG